RNAcentral lists this small RNA (148 nucleotides) under Callithrix jacchus (white-tufted-ear marmoset). Its description in RNAcentral is "Metazoan signal recognition particle RNA (ENSCJAG00000085963.1)". The record is from Rfam by way of RNAcentral. Lineage: Eukaryota; Metazoa; Chordata; Mammalia; Primates; Cebidae.
GCCGGGUGUGGUGGCAUGUGCCUGUAAUCCCAGCUACUUGGGAGGCUGAGGCAGAAGAAUCGCUUGAACCCAGGAGGUGGAGGUUGCAGUGAGCUGAGAUCAGCCCACUGAACUCCAGCCUGGGUAACAGAGUGAGACUCUGUCUGAA